This 514-nucleotide ribosomal RNA is filed under the name uncultured bacterium. RNAcentral describes it as "partial 16S ribosomal RNA". It matches the Rfam family "Bacterial small subunit ribosomal RNA", at positions 28 to 523 of the family's 1533-position model. The record is from RNAcentral.
GAUGAACGCUGGCGGCGUGCCUAAUACAUGCAAGUCGAGCGAAUGGAUUAAGAGCUUGCUCUUAUGAAGUUAGCGGCGGACGGGUGAGUAACACGUGGGUAACCUGCCCAUAAGACUGGGAUAACUCCGGGAAACCGGGGCUAAUACCGGAUAACAUUUUGAACCGCAUGGUUCGAAAUUGAAAGGCGGCUUCGGCUGUCACUUAUGGAUGGACCCGCGUCGCAUGGCUAGUUGGUGAGGUAACGGCUCACCAAGGCAACGAUGCGUAGCCGACCUGAGAGGGUGAUCGGCCACACUGGGGCUGAGACACGGCCCAGACUCCGACGGGAGGCAGCAGUAGGGGAUCUUCCGCAAUGGACGAAAGUCUGACGGAGCAACGCCGCGUGAGUGAUGAAGGCUUUCGGGUCGUAAAACUCUGUUGUUAGGGAAGAACAAGUGCUAGUUGAAUAAGCUGGCACCUUGACGGUACCUAACCAGAAAGCCACGGCUAACUACGUGCCAGCCGCCGCGGUAA